UACGUAGGGGGCAAGCGUUGUCCGGAAUCAUUGGGCGUAAAGAGCGUGUAGGCGGCCCGGUACGUCCGUUGUGAAAGUCCAGGGCUCAACCCUGGAAUGCCGAUGGAUACUGCCGGGCUAGAGUUCGGAAGAGGCGAGUGGAAUUCCUGGUGUAGCGGUGGAAUGCGCAGAUAUCAGGAGGAACACCUAUAGCGAAGGCAGCUCGCUGGGACGACACUGACGCUGAGACGCGAAAGCGUGGGGAGCGAACAGG
RNAcentral lists this ribosomal RNA (253 nucleotides) under uncultured bacterium. RNAcentral's name for it is "partial 16S ribosomal RNA". It matches the Rfam family "Bacterial small subunit ribosomal RNA", at positions 524 to 776 of the family's 1533-position model. The record is from RNAcentral.